AGGGGCUCCGGGGCCGAGGGGCGGCCGCGCGCGCGCCACGGGCCCCGACGCCGCGAGCCGCGAGGGAGCCGCCGGCCGCACGAUCCGCCCCGGCGCGGCCGCCUCGCCAAACAGUUAUUACGGAAACAUGAAUGUCGGGAAGCUAGCUCCCAGCCCGGAGCUUGAACUUGAACGCCUGCUGGCCCUCGCACACGACCACACCGCCACCUCCCGGCCAGGAACCCAGAUCAUGCACGUACAAAGCCGUGAACAAGAGAAACUUAAAAGGACACCGAUCUUCACCAAGUCAUUGACAGAAACGGGGUCCGUGCCGUGUGGCAUCAGCCUCCCAGUUGCCCGUGGAUCCCUCCCCCAUCCUCUGCUGAGCACCCCCAGCCCUCAAGGUGGCCUGGACCCCGUGGAAAGCCCUGGCUCUCCACCCACAGUCGUCGUUCGUGCGAUCACACAUCUGACUUUGUGCCUCCCGUGCUCAACACCCUUCACUGGCUCCCCAUUUCCAUCUGCGUGUGGUCCCCCAUCCGUAACUCGGUGUGUGACACAGCCCCUGGCGGGUCAGAACCUGUAACGUCACCCCUCGUCAGGCUCCUCGGAUGCACAGCUUCGUUUU
Molecule: long non-coding RNA, 607 nt
Organism: Neofelis nebulosa (Clouded leopard)
Lineage: Eukaryota; Metazoa; Chordata; Mammalia; Carnivora; Felidae
Exons: 3
Source: RefSeq, a predicted model, not a curated record